GAACUGGAUGGGGAGAUAGCGGUGCCCUGUAACCUGCAACCCGCUACAGCAGGGUCAAAAAACUACCUCGGUAUAAUAAGGUCAAAUAUGAGUAUAUGCUUAAACGCGAUGAAGUCAAGGUCUUAUGCAAUUAACUCCUCUGAACCAUGUCAGGUCCUGACGGAAGCAUCAUUAAGGAGAUCUGUUGAUGUGCCAUAGGGAAGCUUUGGUGGAGCGAUUAA
This 221-nucleotide signal recognition particle RNA is filed under the name pig gut metagenome. Its description in RNAcentral is "Bacterial large signal recognition particle RNA". It matches the Rfam family "Bacterial large signal recognition particle RNA", at positions 6 to 218 of the family's 256-position model. Rfam says of the family: The signal recognition particle (SRP) is a universally conserved ribonucleoprotein involved in the co-translational targeting of proteins to membranes. The record is from RNAcentral.